This 253-nucleotide ribosomal RNA is filed under the name uncultured bacterium. RNAcentral's name for it is "partial 16S ribosomal RNA". It matches the Rfam family "Bacterial small subunit ribosomal RNA", at positions 524 to 776 of the family's 1533-position model. The record is from RNAcentral.
UACGUAGGCUGCAAGCGUUAUCCGGAAUUAUUGGGCGUAAAGCGUACGCAGGCGGUUUGUUAAGUUGGAUGUCAAAAACCUGAGCUCAACUCAGGUCAGGUAUUCAAUACUGGCAAACUCGAGAUAGGCAGAGGUAAGUGGAAUUCUGUAUGUAGGGGUAAUAUCCGUAGAUAUACAGAGGAACACCAAAAGCGAAGGCAGCUUACUGGGCCUUUUCUGACGCUCAUGUACGAAAGCGUGGGGAGCAAACGGG